RNAcentral lists this ribosomal RNA (429 nucleotides) under Bacillota bacterium. Its description in RNAcentral is "Firmicutes bacterium partial 16S ribosomal RNA". It matches the Rfam family "Bacterial small subunit ribosomal RNA", at positions 355 to 776 of the family's 1533-position model. The record is from RNAcentral. Lineage: Bacteria; Bacillati; Bacillota.
UAGGGAAUCUUCGGCAAUGGACGGAAGUCUGACCGAGCAACGCCGCGUGAGUGAAGAAGGUUUUCGGAUCGUAAAGCUCUGUUGUUAGAGAAGAACGUUGGUAGGAGUGGAAAAUCUACCAAGUGACGGUAAUUAACCAGAUAGGGACGGCUAACUACGUGCCAGCAGCCGUUGUAAUACGUAGGUCCCGAGCGUUGUCCCGAUUUAUUGGGGGUAAAGCGAGUGCAGGCGGGUCUUUAAGUCUGAAGUUAAAGGCAGUGGCCUAACCAUUGUGCGCUGUGGAAACUGGAAGAAUUGAGUGCAGAAGGGGAGGGUGGAAUUCCAUGUGUAGCGGUGAAAUGCGUAGAUAUAUGGAAGAACACCGGUGGCGAAAGCGGCUCUCUAGUCUGUAACUGACGCUGAGGGUCGAAAGCGUGGGGAGCGAACGGG